GCUUCAGACAUUAAGGAAGGAAGCCGCUGAGAGAAGCCCUGAGGAGAAGAAUUUUAUGUGAGCAUAACACCGAAGUGGGAAGUGUUGUCUGAAACUCCCCUGGAUUCUUAAUUGAGACUAUACAAAUCUUUUUUCUAGCUUAGAAAACAUUGAAUGGCCCAUAAUUCACAUUGCCACAAAGUGAGAGAGAAUCUGGAUUAUAUAGUUUAUCGCAUAUUGUGGCAUUAUAUUAACUGUCAUUUUUUCUGUGGUUGGAAAAAUAAUUUGAUUUACCCUGGAGGAAGAUCAUGAACUUCGAUUUAUCUGUUUGUACAAUUGCAAGGAGAUAUUAGUUUGUCAUUUCAUUUUAUAAAUUUCAUUUGCCAUGGUUCCAUUUGUUGAAUAGAAUCACACAACUGAGUUCAUGUUUCUGUUUUGGUCAAUUAAUGCUUGGGCAGGGUGUUCUAUAACUUUGCAAGAACAGGAAGAUCAUUGAAACAUGCACUCUUUUGUUUUUAUUUUUCCAUUCUCG
Molecule: unclassified non-coding RNA, 511 nt
Filed under: Hevea brasiliensis (rubber tree)
Lineage: Eukaryota; Viridiplantae; Streptophyta; Magnoliopsida; Malpighiales; Euphorbiaceae
Source: RNAcentral